This is a long non-coding RNA of Salvia miltiorrhiza (redroot sage), 477 nucleotides long. RefSeq lists it as uncharacterized. NCBI's taxonomy places the organism in Eukaryota, Viridiplantae, Streptophyta, Magnoliopsida, Lamiales, Lamiaceae. The transcript has 3 exons. The record is from RefSeq and is a predicted model, not a curated record.
CCUCUCUAGAAGAAUAUGGAAGUACACGUUCAUAAACAAAGUACUCAAGCUUCUCAUACAUCUUGAUCCAGGUGUAUUUGAAGCUCUCACAAAAAGAUCCAUAAAAUCAAUGGAGAGAGUUGAUCUCGGAGAAAUUUUGAAGCUUGUAAAUUGCCACAGUAUUACCUAUGCUACUGCAAGGAGACUAGGAUUACCUCGAGAAGAAGAAUUUUGGUGUAGAGGAAUCAAUGCGUGUGCUAUUGUUUAAAGGCCAGGUCCUUGCUGUGGUUGGGGGAGAUUGCUUUCAUGUGAAACAAGGAUUUCAGGAAAGAGCUACUAGUUCUUGAGGACUUGGUGCUAGAACACAUAGUAUGAUAAGUUUUAGCUAUAAGAUAGUUGGUACUUUUAAUUUUUUUCAAUUUUGAAUCGAAUAUGAAAUGAUGAUGUAUACUUGAUACUUGGUUCAUUUUGAUGAUAAUGUAUGAAUAUUUUGGAUAA